Molecule: ribosomal RNA, 429 nt
Filed under: Chloroflexota bacterium
Lineage: Bacteria; Bacillati; Chloroflexota
Description: Chloroflexi bacterium partial 16S ribosomal RNA
Rfam family: Bacterial small subunit ribosomal RNA
Source: RNAcentral
UGGGGAAUAUUGCACAAUGGGCGCAAGCCUGAUGCAGCCAUGCCGCGUGUGUGAAGAAGGCCUUCGGGUUGUAAAGCACUUUCAGCGGGGAGGAAGGCGAUAAGGUUAAUAACCUUGUCGAUUGACGUUACCCGCAGAAGAAGCACCGGCUAACUCCGUGCCAGCAGCCGCGGUAAUACGGAGGGUGCAAGCGUUAAUCGGAAUUACUGGGCGUAAAGCGCACGCAGGCGGUUUGUUAAGUCAGAUGUGGAAUCCCCGGGCUCAACCUGGGAACUGGAGCUGAUACUGGCAAGCUUGAGUCUCGUAGAGGGGGGUAGAAUUCCAGGUGUAGCGGUGAAAUGCGUAGAGAUCUGGAGGAAUACCGGUGGCGAAGGCGGCCACCUGGACGAAGACUGACGCUCAGGUGCGAAAGCGUGGGGAGCAAACAGG